RNAcentral lists this transfer RNA (73 nucleotides) under Solirubrobacterales bacterium 67-14. Its description in RNAcentral is "tRNA-Gly". It matches the Rfam family "tRNA". Rfam says of the family: Transfer RNA (tRNA) molecules are approximately 80 nucleotides in length. Lineage: Bacteria; Bacillati; Actinomycetota; Thermoleophilia; Solirubrobacterales. The record is from RNAcentral. RNAcentral also lists the same sequence under 7 other names.
GCGGACGUAGCUCAGUUGGUAGAGCGCGAGCUUCCCAAGCUCGAGGUCGCGGGUUCGAGACCCGUCGUCCGCU